ACACACACACACACACACACACACAGGUCAACAGCAGAUCCACAGUCACUCAAUUAGCUAACCAUUUUUAGAUUGGUAAGUUAGUCUAGCCAGUUAUCUAAACUUGUAAUAGUCAUGGCCAAAUAGGGACCGGGCACGCAAGGCACGUGCUCAGGGACCCUGACCUCCAAGGGGCCACCACUGAUUUUGUUAGUCACUCUCACUCAGGUAUAAUUAACAUGGCAAAAUGUGUAGAAUUGUAGGAAAUUUGCUUUAAAUCUGCUAAGAUUUCUCUUCACCCCAUGGCAAAAUGGGUAUAACUGCAACAAAAACUUUUCUCUAACCCAUGGCAAAAUGUGUGGAAUUGGAAAUGAACUUUAAACGUACAUUCUUAUCUCCCCAGUCAAAACGUGGGCCACUAAAAAUGUUUGCUCGCUUAUUUAGGGCCUCCAAAAUGCAAGAGUGGUUUGGUUCUGCAUGCAUCCGCCAGCUCCGCGCUAUAGCAGGGGAUCAGCCUUGCGGACAGUGGAGUGUGCAGUGCAGGAAUGGCCAGUCUCCACAGUCUCCCCUGUGAACCUCCAUUGACUCUUCUGAAUGGCCCUAAUGACCUGAGCUGCUCCCAGGCCGCCGGCCAACGCUCUAACAGGUGGCAUGGCAUGCAGGGGUGAAAGAUCAAGUCAAUGUGUGUGUCAAUAUGUUACCAAACACAAUCAAAGCAGUAAAUGGACUCUAAAACACAACCUUAUUCAUUUUUGUCAAACAGGCUAAUUUCAAGUUGUAUUUUCAAUUACAUGAAUUACCUCUGCAGAAAUUACAUUCAUAUGUGUUUAUUUUGGUUGGUUAGGUCAAGUCAACCUUAUUGAAAAUGAAUGGAUAAAACCAAACAAAUACAGAAAUCAGAAUAAGAGCUCAACCAUGCUGUACACGGAGAUGAGAUUUGGACCCCACAUGUUUUUUUACACUAUGGUGAAAGCCUAGAUUUAAUCAGAUCAGGCGGUAGCUGAAGAUACCCGACACCCGCAUAGCUGAUGUUUAGGUGGUGUCGGAGGUGGAAAUGCAUUGGAGUUGAGCAGCUGCUCUUGGGAUCAUUGUCAUGCAGCCACACCCGUCUCACUCGCGUUAGAAGUUCAGAACGAGAAAGUGUAUCCUAUAUAGAAAUAAUGACGCUCAAAUUUAAAAUCCUUAAACAAAAGAAUGAUGAUUUCGAUCAGCCUAAUGGAGGUGUAGAUUACAUCUAUCAGCCUAAUGGAAGUGUAGAUUACAUCUAUCAGCCUAAUGGAGGUGUAGAUUACAUCUAUCAGCCUAAUGGAGGUGUAGAUUACAUCUAUCAGCCUAAUGGAGGUGUAGAUUACAUCUAUCAGCCUAAUGGAGGUGUAGAUUACAUCUAUCAGCCUAAUGGAGGUGUAGAUUACAUCUAUCAGCCUAAUGGAGGUGUAGAUUACAUCUAUCAGCCUAAUGGAGGUGUAGAUUACAUCUAUCAGCCUAAUGGAGGUGUAGAUUACAUCUAUCAGCCUAAUGGAGGUGUAGAUUACAUCUAUCAGCCUAAUGGAGGUGUAGAUUACAUCUAUCAGCCUAAUGGAGGUGUAGAUUACAUCUCACAUCCCAGUGUUCCAAUUUGUAAACAAGGCUGCAUUGGAUUUCUCUUUUUGUGAAUCCGUGCAACCAAUGGCAAUACUCGCUUUAGGUAUAAUGCCAGGAGCCGUUUGUGCAUUUGACAGCUCUAACACAGUUCCCCCUCCGACACUGUCAAAACAACCGCUAUGUGGAUGUCGGCUAAAGCGGAUCUGCUUGAAUAGAUCUAUAAAUAUGGACACAUACUGUAAUAAUUCUGUGUGUUCAGCAUAUUUGCCCAGAUUAAUAACGAAACAUGAAAGAGUUGAUGUGUGUAUACUAUCCUCUGUAUGAUGACAUUCUAUUGAUCUCACUCUAAUCAGAAUUGAAAUGACAUUUCCUGAAUGUAUAGUAGAGUGUUAAAUUGCCGUCACGAGGAACAUAGGUUGAUCUUCAGGAACGGUGUGAAAGGACUGGACAUGUAGCACUCCAGGUAUGUAUUGUUCAUUGUGAUGAAAUACAGUGCUGCAAAUUAACUCUUAUUAGAAUUAAGGCAUGCAGGAAACAUACUCUGUAGCACAAUAUUGCAGGCAUCGGUCGGCUGUGUGUGUGUGUGUGUGUGUGUGUGUGUGUGUGUGUGUGUGUGUGUGUGUGUGUGUGUGUGUGUGUGUGUGUGUGUGUGUGUGGAGGAGGAGGGAAUGCACAGGGUUCUGGAUGUUCAAGUAUUGGUGUUACACACUAUAUCAAUUUAUGACAGUCUAAAUCCUAUCCAACCAAAAUGCAAUCCACAAACCGAUAUUUAAUUGAAGGACAGAUUACUCAUUGGGUAGACUUUUUUCCCCCCACUCUCUUCGAUGCAAUGUAAUGAUAGCACACAAUAGGCUUAUGGAUGAGGACAACACCACUAUUUCCGUGAUCACAAUAACAAUCUGUCAAUCAUCCUGCUGUUCCAUGUGGGACACUAAUAUCUCAUGACAAAUACACCCUCAUUGCCCAUCCUUAAAUAGCUGAAUUUCAGGGUAUUCAAAACGUUCUUGUUAUUAUCAUGACUGGAUCUUGAAAGAAAUAGAAGUGCCCUACCAUUGCCAAGGAGAAACCUUGAUCUUAUUCUUAGGCUGAAAAAAAUAUGUAUUUCCAUUCUUCACCUGGUUCCAUUGGAUAUGCACACUUUAAUAAGAUACUUUCUCAUUGGACAUUCUGAAGGUUGAGGAUUCUGCUGCUGAUUUUCAGGCUUACAGUGCAGUUCUGCCCAAAGACCACUAGGGGGAAGUCAACCCUGUUUAUUCACCUCAGUGAGCCGAUCCCUAGAAGUGAUCAAAUCUAAAUGUAUAUAAAAAAAACAUCUAUUUAAAAUGAUCAGUUGAUUGGCAUUUACUUUGAUGGUGUUUUCCGACAUGUUGUAACAAUUCAAAUACAUUUCACGAUUUGUUCCUUUUCAGUGUAGAAGUCUCAUGAAAGCCCUAUUUUUGCCCUUCUGUGCUUCAAUUAUUUUUAGAAUAUGUCCUACAGGUCAACUACCAAAUCUAACAGCUAUUGUGUUUUCACUUAAAAUCACAUUUACUGUAGUUCUGUUUUAUAAACUACUAUGAAUGAUCAUUAUAUUACUUACACACACACGGGC
Molecule: long non-coding RNA, 3151 nt
Organism: Oncorhynchus keta (chum salmon)
Lineage: Eukaryota; Metazoa; Chordata; Actinopteri; Salmoniformes; Salmonidae
Exons: 3
Source: RefSeq, a predicted model, not a curated record